AUUGAACGCUGGCGGCAGGCCUAACACAUGCAAGUCGAACGGUAACAGGCUGAUGUUUGCUUCUUUGCUGAUGAGUGGCGGAUGGGUGAGUCAUGUCUGGGAUACUCUUUGCUGGAGGGGGAUAUCUACUGGAUACGGUUGCUAAUACCGCAUAACGUCGCCUGACUAAAAAGGGGGACCUUCGGGCCUCUUGCCAUCGGAUGUGCCCAGCUGGGCUUCGCUUGUAGGUGGGGUAACGGCUCACCUAGGGGACGAUCUCUAGCUGCUGUGAGAGGAGGACCAGCCACACAGGAGCUGAGAGACGAUCCAGAGACCGACGGGAGGCAGCAGUGGGGAAGAUUGCACAAAGGGCGCAAGCCUGAUGCAGGCAUGGCGCGUGUAUGAAGAAGGCCUUCGGGUGGUAAAGUACUUUCAGGGGGGAAGAAGGGAGUAGAGUUAAAAGCUGUGCUCAUUGAGGUAACCGGCAGAAGAAGCACCGGCAAACACCGG
RNAcentral lists this ribosomal RNA (489 nucleotides) under uncultured bacterium. RNAcentral describes it as "partial 16S ribosomal RNA". It matches the Rfam family "Bacterial small subunit ribosomal RNA", at positions 30 to 506 of the family's 1533-position model. The record is from RNAcentral.